Molecule: ribosomal RNA, 408 nt
Filed under: Fusobacteriota bacterium
Lineage: Bacteria; Fusobacteriati; Fusobacteriota
Description: Fusobacteria bacterium partial 16S ribosomal RNA
Rfam family: Bacterial small subunit ribosomal RNA
Source: RNAcentral
UGGGGAAUAUUGCACAAUGGACGGAAGUCUGAUGCAGCAACGCCGCGUGCGGGAUGACGGCCUUCGGGUUGUAAACCGCUUUUUCUCAUGACGAAGUUUUUUGACGGUAGGGGGGGAAGAAGCACCGGCUAACUACGUGCCAGCAGCCGCGGUGAUACGUAGGGUGCGAGCGUUGUCCGGAAUUAUUGGGCGUAAAGAGCUUGUAGGCGGUUUGUCGCGUCGAUAGUGCAAACUCAGUGCUUAACGCUGAGCCUGCUGUUGAUACGGGCAGACUAGAGGAAGGUAGGGGAGAAUGGAAUUCCCGGUGGAGCGGUGGAAUGCGCAGAUAUCGGGAGGAACACCGGUGGCGAAGGCGGUUCUCUGGGCCUUUCCUGACGCUGAGAAGCGAAAGCGUGGGGAGCGAACAGG